AUGCAGGGCACCGGUGAAGAUGAUGGGUUAAUGGACAAUGUCAAGCUGCCGGACAAGGUAAUAACACUGGUUGCUACUGCUGUCCAGAAGCUGUCUGUGGCGGCAUCUCCGCUGAUCCAAGCGACGGAUCAGCUAGGGGAGAAGGCGGCGUCCUCGAUGGCGACGGAUCCUGGGCUGCAGCUGCUGGGUUUCUCCCAGGAGGGAAGGCCAGUACUGGUCAGCUCGGGGGCCAGGGGGCCCGAAACCAUGUCCAAGGUCAACUACGCUGCGGCUCGUGCGGAACAAGCGGCGGAUCAGGUGGCCCAUCCUGGACUCGGCGUGGCACUCAACUCCAACUCUGGUGCCGCGCUGGGACUAGCUCCUGGCGAUGGUAUGAACAGGCCUGGGGAGCACCUCUACUCCCACUUGGGUGCUCCUGGGGCGAGCGAGGAGGAGCGGGAGAAGGCCCGGCUGCAAGUCGUUGGUCUGGACAAGGUGCAGCCAGCCAAGGCCGGCUCCAACAUCCCCACUGAAGCUUUGGGGCUGGCUAAUAAGGGCCUUGUGGAGGGCCUCAAGGCGCAGGCUCAUGGAGGACAACGUCCAAGCGUCGACACCAAGGGCGACGAGACCAUUUGGGGCCGCUGGAAGCGGGUUCACAGGGAGGAGCGCGAGGAACGUGAGGUGGUGUAG
Molecule: ribosomal RNA, 669 nt
Filed under: Triticum aestivum (bread wheat)
Lineage: Eukaryota; Viridiplantae; Streptophyta; Magnoliopsida; Poales; Poaceae
Description: partial small subunit ribosomal RNA
Source: RNAcentral